CCUACGGGGGGCAGCAGUGGGGAAUAUUGCACAAUGGGGGAAACCCUGAUGCAGCGACGCCGCGUGAGUGAAGAAGUAUCUCGGUACGUAAAGCUCUAUCAGCAGGGAAGAAAAUGACGGUACCUGACUAAGAAGCCCCGGCUAACUACGUGCCAGCAGCCGCGGUAAUACGUAGGGGGCCAGCGUUAUCCGGAUUUACUGGGUGUAAAGGGAGCGUAGACGGCAGCACAAGUCUGGAGUGAAAUCCCGGGGCUUAACCCCGGAACUGCUUUGGAAACUGUGCGGCUGGAGUGAAGGUGGGGUAAGCGGAAUUCCUAGUGUAGCGGUGAAAUGCGUAGAUAUUAGGAGGAACACCGGUGGCGAAGGCGGCUUACUGGACUGUAACUGACGUUGAGGCUCGAAAGCGUGGGGAGCAAACAGGAUUAGAUACCCCAGUAGUC
This 440-nucleotide ribosomal RNA is filed under the name uncultured bacterium. Its description in RNAcentral is "partial 16S ribosomal RNA". It matches the Rfam family "Bacterial small subunit ribosomal RNA", at positions 338 to 795 of the family's 1533-position model. The record is from RNAcentral.